UGGGUCGGGUUAUUUAGCCAACCAAAAUGGCAGUACAGGCUCCGACCGAGGACUGAGGAAGCUUAGGAUGACUAAUAAGAAUGGUUGCGGCGAGUGUUUUGUUGUGGAAGUAUUAGAAGAAUGUGUAAGAAACAUACGGUGCUCAUGAUGCAACUUCCUGGAUGGUGUGUAAAUUGUUUAUCAGCAUGUGAAAUCCACAUGAUUGAAGGAGAAGUCUUCCUUGUUAAAGAUCAGCAACGGCAGAUAAACAAUUCAUGAUGCAAUCUGCUCACUAAAAAGAUUACACCAAUACAUCCCAUGACAUGUAUUUCUACCUGUAACCUAUGUAACCUUUGUCAUGCUCUUCAGAGAGUCAUCGACAGGAAAAGGAAUUACUGGUAAGUUGACAGGACUUUCCACACUGUUUCUGGUAGCAGCUUAUGAUUGAAUUGAUGGUAGAAGACGUGGCCCACUUAAUCAAAG
Long non-coding RNA from Saccostrea echinata, 462 nucleotides. RefSeq lists it as uncharacterized. The record is from RefSeq and is a predicted model, not a curated record. The transcript is spliced from 4 exons. Lineage: Eukaryota; Metazoa; Mollusca; Bivalvia; Ostreida; Ostreidae.